AUGGCCACUUCUACUUUGCUUCCAAUACCUCCUAGAGCCUUGUUGGUUUCUAAACAUUCCAGCAAUGCUUCAACGUCAACUAAAAAGGAUAAUUGAUUUUGAACUUUUAACAAACCUAUAAACCAAGUCUUAUUGUCAUUUCGUUUAGUCAUUGCUGCUGCUUCUACUAGUAAGAGAGGUUCCUCCAGUUCUGAUAAACGUUUGUCUUCUAAUGCUGUGGUCCUUUCGUCAAAUUCGUCUCCGAUAUGUCAAGUCUGGAAGCGUUAAUAGUGCGUUCCAAUGCCGAAGUUCUGUCAUUGAAUGCGCCUGAAGAUACAUCGUCUCCUGUGCAUAUGCCAAGUCAACAAUCGUUUCAACCUGAAGAUUCGUCGUCUCCUGUGGAUAUGCAAAUUCAACAGUCGAUUCAGUCUGGUAAU
Long non-coding RNA from Daphnia carinata, 416 nucleotides. RefSeq lists it as uncharacterized. The record is from RefSeq and is a predicted model, not a curated record. NCBI's taxonomy places the organism in Eukaryota, Metazoa, Arthropoda, Branchiopoda, Diplostraca, Daphniidae. The transcript has 4 exons.